UUGGAGGGCAAGUCUGGUGCCAGCAGCCGCGGUAAUUCCAGCUCCAAUAGCGUAUAUUAAAGUUGUUGCAGUUAAAAAGCUCGUAGUUGAAUUUCGGGAUCAAUACGUCGGUCAUGCUUUUUGGUACGAACUGGCGUCAUUGGUUUCUCCUUUCUGACGAACCAUGAUGUCAUUAAUUUGGUGUUAUGGGGAGUUGGGACUGUUACUUUGAAAAAAUUAGAGUGUUUAAAGCAGGCAUAAGCUUGAAUACAUUAGCAUGGAAUAAUGAAAUAGGACGUUUGAUCCUAUUUUGUUGGUUUCUAGGAUCAACGUAAUGAUUAAUAGGGAUAGUUGGGGGCAUUAGUAUUCAAUUGUCAGAGGUGAAAUUCUUGGAUUUAUUGAAGACUAACUACUGCGAAAGCAUUUGCCAAGGAUGUUUUCAUUAAUCAAGAACGAAAGUUAGGGGAUCGAAGACGAUCAGAUACCGUCGUAGUCUUAACCAUAAACUAUGCCGACUAGGGAUCGGAUGAUGUUAAUUUUUUAAUGACUCAUUCGGCGCCUUACGGGAAAC
RNAcentral lists this ribosomal RNA (550 nucleotides) under uncultured Glomeromycotina. Its description in RNAcentral is "SSU rRNA". It matches the Rfam family "Eukaryotic small subunit ribosomal RNA", at positions 548 to 1098 of the family's 1831-position model. Lineage: Eukaryota; Fungi; Glomeromycota. The record is from RNAcentral.